This 375-nucleotide unclassified non-coding RNA is filed under the name uncultured Gammaproteobacteria bacterium. Its description in RNAcentral is "contains 16S-23S intergenic spacer region". Lineage: Bacteria; Pseudomonadati; Pseudomonadota; Gammaproteobacteria. The record is from RNAcentral.
UCCGAGUUGUCCCCGGCAGUCUCCUAUGAGUCCCCGACUUAAUGCUGGCAACUAAGGGCAAGGGUUGCGCUCGUUACGGGACUUAACCCAACAUCUCACAACACGAGCUGACGACAGCCAUGCAGCACCUGUCUCUGAGUUCCUUUCGGCACCCCUAAAUCUCUUCAGGGUUCUCAGGAUGUCAAGAGUAGGUAAGGUUCUUCGCGUUGCAUCGAAUUAAACCACAUGCUCCACCGCUUGUGCGGGCCCCCGUCAAUUCCUUUGAGUUUCAACCUUGCGGCCGUACUUCCCAGGCGGAGAACUUAUCGCGUUAGCUUCGACACCAAAUGGUUCCCCAUCCAACAUCUAGUUCUCAUCGUUUACAGCGUGGACUAC